GAUGAACGCUGGCGGCGUGCCUAAUACAUGCGAGUCGAACGGACAGACACCGACCUUUCUCCUCGGACGUUAGCGUCGCACACGUGAGUAACACAUGGAUAUAAUCCCUCUACUACUUCGAUAACAUCGGAUGAAAGUAGCUAUUACCCGGUAAUAUCUUUACCCGCAUGGUUCAAUAGUGGAAGACGGUUUUCCUUUCGCUUAUAGUUGGAUACGCGCCGCAUUAGCUAGUUGGUAAGGUAACGGCUUACCAAGGCAACGAUGCGUAGCCGACCUGAGAGGGUGAUCGGCCACACUGGAACUGAGACACGGUCCAGACUCCUACGGGAGGCAGCAGUAGGGAAUCUUCCGCAAUGGGCGAAAGCUUGACGGAGCAACGCCGCGUGAGUGAUGAAGGUCUUCGGAUCGGAAAACUCUGUUAUUAGGGAAGAACAAAUGUGUAAGUAACUAUGCACGUCUUGACGGUACCUAAUCAGAAAGCCACGGCUAACUACGUG
This 497-nucleotide ribosomal RNA is filed under the name uncultured bacterium. RNAcentral's name for it is "partial 16S ribosomal RNA". It matches the Rfam family "Bacterial small subunit ribosomal RNA", at positions 28 to 507 of the family's 1533-position model. The record is from RNAcentral.